AUACGGAGGGAGCAAGCGUUGUUCGGAAUUACUGGGCGUAAAGAGCACGUAGGCGGCAGUGUAAGUCAGAUGUGAAAUCCUGCGGCUCAACCGUAAGAAUUGCAUCUGAUACUGCGCAGCUUGAGUACAGGAGAGGAGAGCGGAAUUCCCAGUGUAGCGGUGGAAUGCGUAGAUAUUGGGAAGAACACCGGUGGCGAAGGCGGCUCUCUGGACUGAUACUGACGCUGAGGUGCGAAAGCUAGGGGAGCAAACAGGAUUAGAUACCCCAGUAGUCC
RNAcentral lists this ribosomal RNA (275 nucleotides) under uncultured bacterium. RNAcentral describes it as "partial 16S ribosomal RNA". It matches the Rfam family "Bacterial small subunit ribosomal RNA", at positions 523 to 796 of the family's 1533-position model. The record is from RNAcentral.